Oncorhynchus tshawytscha (Chinook salmon) is the source of this 4115-nucleotide long non-coding RNA. The record is from Ensembl. Lineage: Eukaryota; Metazoa; Chordata; Actinopteri; Salmoniformes; Salmonidae.
CCAUUCAUCCUCACCAAUAAGCCAUUCAUCCUCACCAAUAAGCCAUCCAUCCUCACCAAUAAGCCAUCCAUCCUCACCAAUAAGCCAUCCAUCCAUCCUCACCAAUAAGCCAUCCAUCCUCACCAAUAAGCCAUCCAACCUCACCAAUAAGCCAUCCAUCCUCACCAAUAAGCCAUCCAACCUCACCAAUAAGCCAUCCAACCUCACCAAUAAACCAUUCAUCCAUCCUCACCAAUAAGCCAUCCAUCCAUCCUCACCAAGAAGCCAUCCAUCCAUCCUCACCAAUAAGCCAUCCAUCCAUCCUCACCAAUAAGCCAUCCAUCCAUCCUCACCAAUAAGCCAUCCCUCCUCAACAGAAUGAACGAGUCGUGCGUUCCACCUGGCCAGCUGGCCACCACAUUCAGCAGCGUAUGUGGACACCGUCUUCAGAUUAGUGGAUUCGGCUAUUUCAGCCACACCUGUUGCUGACAGGUGUAUAAAAUCGAGCGCACAGCCAUGCAAUCUCCAUAGACACACAUUGACAUGCUCCCAUGCACAAAUCAAGGUCCAUACAGAAACAGUUUGUUGAGAUCAAUGUGGAAGAACUUGUCUGGCUUGCAAAGAGCCCUGACGUCAACCACAAUGAACACCUUUGGGAUGAAUUGGAACACCGACUGCGAGCCAGGCCUAAUCGCCAAACAUCAGUGCCUGACCUCACUAAUGCUCUUGUGGCUGAAUGGAAAUAUGUCCCCUAGUGGAAAGCAUUCCCAGAAGAGUUGAGGCUGUUAUAGCAGCAAAGCGGGGGACCAACUCCAUGAUUUUGGAAUGAGAUGUUUGAUGAGCAGGUGUCCACAUACUUUUGGUCAUGUAGUGUUUUUCCCGCAUCACCUGCACAUUAAGAGUGGAAGUAUUUUCUGUUGACAGAGUUGAACUGACGAUAUGGGUGUCGUCUGUUGCUCCGUUCGUAUUUGUGAACCCAUUGAUGGCAAAGAAACCCCUCUUGACUUCAAUCUGUUGUGCGAUGGUGUAUGCUGAUGAUUGCAUCGAAAACAUUGGCUCAUCGAGGGCUGUGAGAUGCCGAUCGGCAAGCUCCCUUUGAAAAGUGCCUAUUGCCAGAAACUCAAGGGUGGAUAGCACUUGGAUGUGCAACUGGAAUGUCAUGUGUUUGCCAUUCAAAAGUAGGUCUUAAAUCCUCGCAAAAAUACUUUAUGAAUGGCUUUGGGAAAUGAUAUCUGAUGAGACAAUCUUCACUUCCUGCAGUAACAACAAAAAGUCCCACCUGUAUCUAAAAACGAGCUCAGCCUCUCAGUCGAUUUCUCAACAUCUCUGUCUUUCAUGGUAUUUACACAAUAGUUUCACUUUCACUCAAGUUUUACCAAUGACUAUACUUUAUAUAGAUAAUUAUCGGAUUUUUUUUUUUACUGAUGUGGUUAAAAGAUAUGCCUGUCAAGAUAUGUCGAUUGAAUUCACAAUGGAAAUACAAUGAAAUCGAAAAAUUAUUUAAUUAUUACCCUGACAAUUUCAGACAUUAUCAACAUUUAUUUUCCCCAUUCUAUGCUUGACAAGCAGUUCUCUUGUUCCACCACUUGGCACUGUACGUGCGUAUGGUCACAGGCUGUGUGUAAAUUUACUCAAACUUGCAAGCAGCAGUUCAUAUUGAUAAAUCUCACACUUUGCACGGACAUUUUCCCACGCAUGAUUUACGCUCUGAUUUUGUUUCCUGAUUGAUAAAUGAGUCCCCGUGGUGACACAUUGGCUCUGCUAUGAACUGGCACUGCCCUCUGCUUCCUGACAGCCAGAUGGACUGGGGUCUGAACCACGUAUGCACCAUGCCCAGGGCUCUGGGUGGCACCAGCUGGAUCUAUCUUGCUACAGACAGGGCUCUGCAGUCCCAUUCUAUACACAGAUAAAUGUGUAUUCAUUCAUGGGUUAGCUGUAGAGAAAGUUUCACCAUAUUCUUUCCCACUAGUCUAUUCGUUUUUAAAUCCACAAUUGGCCAUUAAAUUGGCCACUAGAGAGAAGGGUAGAAAGGAAACAACUGAAAUACAAAACAAUAAGCUUCUAACUGAAAACAAAUGACUGAUUGGGUAUUAGUGAUUGGGUAUUAGGGAUUAGGGAUUGGGUAUUAGGGAUUAGUGAUUGGGUAUUAGGGAUUGGGUAUUAGGGAUUAGUGAUUGGGUAUUAGGGAUUGGGUAUUAGGGAUUAGGGCUUGGGUAUUAGGGAUUAGUGAUUGGGUAUUAGUGAUUGGGUAUUAGGGAUUGGGUAUUAGGGAUUGGGUAUUAGGGAUUAGGGCUUGGGUAUUAGGGAUUAGUGAUUGGGUAUUAGUGAUUGGGUAUUAGGGAUUGGGUAUUAGGGAUUGGGUAUUAGGGAUUAGUGAUUGGGUAUUAGUGAUUGGGUAUUAGGGAUUAGUGAUUGGGUAUUAGGGAUUGGGUAUUAGGGAUUAGGGAUUGGGUAUUAGGGAUUAGUGAUUGGGUAUUAGUGAUUGGGUAUUAGGGAUUGGGUAUUAGGGAUUAGGGAUUGGGUAUUAGUGAUUAGGGAUUGGGUAUUAGGGAUUGGGUAUUAGUGAUUGGGUAUUAGGGAUUAGGGAUUGGGUAUUAGGGAUUGGGUAUUAGGGAUUAGGGAUUGGGUAUUAGGCAUUAGUGAUUGGGUAUUAGUGAUUGGGUAUUAGGGAUUGGGUAUUAGUGAUUAGGGAUUGGGUAUUAGUGAUUAGGGAUUGGGUAUUAGGGAUUGGGUAUUAGGGAUUAGGGAUUGGGUAUUAGGGAUUGGGUAUUAGGGAUUGGGGAUUGGGUAUUAGGGAUUGGGUAUUAGGGAUUGGGUAUUGGGUAUUAGGGAUUGGGUAUUAGGGAUUGGGUAUUAGUGAUUGGGUAUUAGUGAUUGGGUAUUAGUGAUUGGGUAUUAGUGAUUGGGUAUUAGGGAUUGGGUAUUAGUGAUUGGGUAUUAGUGAUUGGGUAUUAGUGAUUGGGUAUUAGGGAUUGGGUAUUAGGGAUUGGGUAUUAGGGAUUGGGUAUUAGUGAUUGGGUAUUAGGGAUUAGGGAUUGGGUAUUAGGGAUUGGGUAUUAGGGAUUGGGUAUUAGGGAUUGGGGAUUGGGUAUUAGGGAUUGGGUAUUAGUGAUUAGGGAUUGGGUAUUAGGGAUUGGGUAUUAGGGAUUGGGUAUUAGGGAUUGGGUAUUAGUGAUUGGGUAUUAGGGAUUGGGUAUUAGGGAUUGGGUAUUAGGGAUUAGGGAUUGGGUAUUAGGGAUUGGGUAUUAGUGAUUGGGUAUUAGUGAUUGGGUAUUAGUGAUUGGGUAUUAGUGAUUGGGUAUUAGUGAUUGGGUAUUAGGGAUUGGGUAUUAGUGAUUGGGUAUUAGUGAUUGGGUAUUAGGGAUUGGGUAUUAGGGAUUGGGUAUUAGGGAUUAGGGAUUGGGUAUUAUGGAUUGGGUAUUAGGGAUUGGGUAUUAGGGAUUAGGGAUUGGGUAUUAGGGAUUGGGUAUUAGUGAUUGGGUAUUAGUGAUUGGGUAUUAGUGAUUGGGUAUUAGUGAUUGGGUAUUAGUGAUUGGGUAUUAGUGAUUGGGUAUUAGGGAUUGGGUAUUAGGGAUUAGUGAUUGGGUAUUAGGGAUUGUGUAUUAGUGAUUGGGUAUUAGUGAUUGGGUAUUAGUGAUUGGGUAUUAGUGAUUGGGUAUUAGUGAUUGGUAUUAGGGAUUGGGUAUUAGGGAUUGGGUAUUAGUGAUUGGGUAUUAGGGAUUGGGUAUUAGGGAUUAGGGAUUGGGUAUUAGUGAUUGGGUAUAAUGAAUAAAUAAUUAAUGGUCGUGGCCCAGUGGUCUAAGGCACUGCAUCUCAGAGAAACCCAUGUUGACUUCAAUCUGUUGUGCGAUGGUGUAUUUCUUUGCACUGCAUCUCAGUGCAAGAAGCCUCACUACAGUCCCUGGUUCGAAUCCACACAAUUGCCCCAUCAUCGUCCAGGUUGGGCCGGUGUAGGCCGUCAUUGUAAAUUAGAAUUUGUUCUUAACUGACUUGCCGAGUUAAAUAAAGGAUAAAACAAAUUAAAAUCCAUAAUGGAGUCACAUAUACAGUGCAACUGGCAAUUAACCUUUCAGACUGUGUCGUUGUUUUUGAAUUGUUUACGUGUUCGCUAUGCAGGACAAACGGAACUACGUGGC